GCAGUUCAUUUAAACCAUUGCAAAAUCAUUUUUAAAGUUAUUUCGGUUUUUGAAUCAGAAUAUUAAAUCAAUGCUUAAAAUAUCUAGAAAGUUCAUGCUUUUCAUUCACAUUUACACAAUGAGUUUCAGAGGAAAAAGGAAAAGAAAGAUGAUUUUCAUUCUAUCCACAUUUUUUCAGUGCAUCACCAAAUAAAUCCCAUGCUUAACAGCCCCACCUCCUGGUGAAAAAGCAAUGAGAAAAACAUUUUACUGGCAGUGUUCUCUGAUGUAGCUUACAUAAUGGAAAUGCUUUCGUUUUUUGUUUUGCAUGACAGCUCUAGAGCAUGUUUAGAGCUUUUUUCUUUUUUUAAGAUAUAUUCUGUCUUUUUUUCUCUCACAUCACAGGGAUAUUAUACUCUAAUUACUGCUUUUCUCCUUAGUAUCUCCUUUAAAAUAGAUGAAAAAUACACUCUCUGACUUUUAUGCCUCUCCACAGACAAAUCCAAAGCUAGAAAUCAGGAAAAACCCAAUAGGAUCCAGGAACUUCUGAAGCUGUUCUUGAGUACAAUGUCUUCAGGAGAUAAAGCAUGAGACGAUGAGGAAUCCCAACAUGGUGUAAAUCUUGGAGAAUAAAUCAUUUUAUGUCAGGAAACCAUUAUCCAGUAGCAUGGAUGAGCCUGCACCUGCCCUGAGGAAGGAUUCUUCCUGUGUGAUUCUUUCCUGUGCCAAAAUCUAGGUUCCCACUUAAUAUUUUUUUCACAGUAAUCUCCUAAUAGUUUAUUCUAAAACCUUUUAUCCUCUUUCACUGAUUCCUUGCCUCCAGAAGUGGACUUAUAAAAUUUCUAUGAACCCAAAACAGUUAAUAACAAGAAGAGGACUGCCAGCAUUUGGGAGAUGAAAACAGCCCACAUUCAGCACUUGGAAGCAUCAUGAGGACAAUGAAAAGCACCGAAAAGAAGAAUCUUUCUAAAUAUGACCCUCCUCCAGAAACAAAAAAUACGCAGUCUGGUUUAGACUGAGCAGACAGAUGACAAGAGCAGCAUAUUUAGAGAGAAAAGAAGCCUUGGGAAACACUGUUUGCAGUCCCACUUCCAGUACACAUGAAAUUAUUCUCUAUUCUUCUCUAAAAAGAGAGGACUAACCAUGAAGACUCCCUGUGCAUAUGUGCUUACUGCAGGCAUUCCUUUAUUCAGAAGAAAUCCACAAAGUUUAUAAGGAAAAAAUUGAAUAUGAAUAAAUGCCCCAAAAUAAUUGCUUUCAAGCCUCACUUAAAUAUUUGCAUGGGUGAAUUAAACUUAAAUAGACUUUCUGCAUGAUGAAAAGAAAGGGCAUGAUAUCUUCUACUAUGCAGCAGAAUGCAUUCUCUCAAAAACAGAAAACAAUUUCUUUUUGAAAUAUCAGAGCCUCUCCACAAGCCCUUGCAUUCCUUUAGACACAAACACCUCUCUCGAAAAGAUAUUAUUAUUUUUUUUUUAAUUUUUUUAUGCUGUCCGAAAUCAACACAUCUUGAAUUUUAAGGAUUCUAAUGUUGGUGUGAUCAUUGUGGCUCAAAUAAAACAUGAAUUAUUUUAAUCAGCCCUCCAAUCUUCUGCUGACAUCAUGCUCAAAUAUGAUACAGAGCUUAGAAAAGAAGUAGACAGAUGAGCAAGUUGGAUUCAGGUAGAGAUUUCUUUGGUACUGCUGGAGAUGAGAGCAGUGUCCCCCAUGACAAGGACUUAGUCUAGAUGUGGGUGUACUGGUAUUACCAUCAGUAAUUAGCCACUUCUGAGUCUUUCAAGUACCCUGCAACACCUGAAAGCUGUAACACAAAUUUACCUGCGAUAUUUAUUCUGAAGUGCUAGUUGUUCCCCACUUGUGCCUUGGCCAUGGUCUGAUUGAUUUAGCAACAAAAAGCAUCCUGUGUUUCACUCACAGAGAAAGUGAACAAUAUUUCCAGGCAGAGUUAAGUAGAUAUUCCUAAUUCAGUUGUCCUGAUCUGGGAAAUGAACACUUUUCUUUAGGUAGAGACUAUUUUUCUUUACAGCUCCUUUGCAAUGUCAUGGCCAUUCACCCACCAAGCUCUGCAGAGGUCAAGGACUGGUGGCACACUCUCCAUGAGGAUGGAGGUGCCUCUCUGACAUUGACACAGUCAAGUCUGUCAUUGCUCAUUCACCUCCUGCACCCUACAGCAGCUCUCCAGGGUCACACAGGAGGUGUGGAAGAAACCCAAGGAUUAAAUGAAAAGCUGGGUUUUAGCUCUGUUUCAAGCUUCAAACCAGAAAACAAACAUUUCCCUUCUUGACCUAUUUUAAAAGUGCAAGUCAACAGCUGAAGUUCUUUCACAUAUACACAAGUACAACAGGAAACGGGAAUUGGAAAUUAAGAUUAGCAUUCCUACUGCUUUCAUUUUUUUCCUUUCUUUGUCUUCUAGAUAAAAAAAAAAAA
Molecule: long non-coding RNA, 2403 nt
Organism: Zonotrichia albicollis (white-throated sparrow)
Lineage: Eukaryota; Metazoa; Chordata; Aves; Passeriformes; Passerellidae
Source: RefSeq, a predicted model, not a curated record